UCGUUUUUCCAUUUUCGGACUUCCGAGAAUAGGAGUCCCGGUUCUACUUACUAUAUUUGGACAAUCUAAUUACCCUUCCCCUUCUCACUUAUUUGCAUCUCUACCAUAAAAAAGAACACCCCCUACCCCGUCUAACUCACUCUCAUUCUCACUCUAUCUCUCUCUCGCUCUCAACCCCUCGGAACCCUAAUUCACCGCCACCGCCGCCGCCGCCUCCGACAAAAGGCCUCCCAACCGCCGCCUCCUCCCCCUCCCCACUCUCAGGAACCCUAGCCCCUAAUCGCCGGCCGCCUCCACCAACCUCCACUGUCUCCUGCCCAAACACAUUCUAGAACAGCUGUCCUCUAACCUUAAUCCUCUUCAUCUUUCCCCUGCCCUUUGGCCUCCUGCGGAGUUUUUUCUAGACUAAUUAUGUUUCCCUUAUUAAAUCUAUUUGGAUUGGUCAACACAGGCGAAGGCGGCGACUGUGGGUGUGGGGCGACCUUCAGAAUACGGGUAGUGAAAAUCACGAAGAGGGCUCUGCUUUAAUUUUGCAAAGUUUGUUCUUGAAAAUUUGUUCUUAUGGCCUCUCAGGGAAGGAAUAAUUGAAUUGGAGUGUGAAUUUCACCGUGUGUGUUGAUUUCUUUUGCUUUCGAUUCACAACAGAAUUGGAGCGUGGAUUUCUCUUUGUCUUGGCGUUUAAUCCUCCAUAUUGAUUUGUAUGUGAGCAAUUACCGUGAAUUGUUUCAUUUAAUUCUCUAGAUAUGUGAGCAAAUUUAGUGUGAGUUGUUCAUUUAAUUCUCCAAAUUUGUAUUUAAAAGCAGAAAUAAAAUCAGAUCAUUGAUGUAUAAAAGCUAAAUUUAUAAA
Long non-coding RNA from Salvia splendens (bonfire salvia), 846 nucleotides. RefSeq lists it as uncharacterized. The record is from RefSeq and is a predicted model, not a curated record. NCBI's taxonomy places the organism in Eukaryota, Viridiplantae, Streptophyta, Magnoliopsida, Lamiales, Lamiaceae. The transcript is spliced from 2 exons.